RNAcentral lists this unclassified non-coding RNA (434 nucleotides) under soil metagenome. RNAcentral's name for it is "partial contains 5.8S ribosomal RNA, internal transcribed spacer 2, and large subunit ribosomal RNA". The stretch from base 1 to 120 matches the Rfam family "5.8S ribosomal RNA", at positions 35 to 154 of the family's 154-position model. The record is from RNAcentral.
GAUGAAGAACGUAGCGAAAUGCGAUACGUAAUGUGAAUUGCAGAAUUCAGUGAAUCAUCGAAUCUUUGAACGCAUAUUGCGCUCUUUGGUAUUCCGAAGAGCAUGCUUGUUUGAGUAUCUGUAAACACCUCAAAGCUUUUGGAUUUUUUAAUCGAAAAGCUUUGGACUUGAGCAAUCCCAACACCAAUCUUUUUGAGAUCGGUGGCGGGUUGCUUGAAAUGCAGGUGCAGCUGGACAUUCUCCUGAGCUAAAAGCAUAUUCAUUUAGUCCCGUCAAACGGAUUAUUACUUUUGCUGCAGCUAACAUAAAGGGAGUUUGACCGUAUUGGCUGACUGAUGCAGGAUUUCACAAGGGUCGGCAACGAUUCUUGUUAAACUCGAUCUCAAAUCAAGUAAGACUACCCGCUGAACUUAAGCAUAUCAAUAAGCGGAGGA